Molecule: long non-coding RNA, 252 nt
Filed under: Zalophus californianus (California sea lion)
Lineage: Eukaryota; Metazoa; Chordata; Mammalia; Carnivora; Otariidae
Description: lncRNA (ENSZCAG00015017707.1)
Source: RNAcentral
CCAGGACCCUGGGAUCAUGACCUGAGCCAAAGGCAGACGCUUAACGACUGAGCCACCCAGGCGCCCCAAGAUGAAUUUUGAAACUGGGAAAAAGAAACUGACAAUCCAAGAUGGACAAGCAAACCAAAUUAAAUACUUCGAAAAGAUCACACAUGGCCCAGCAGUGCAGCAGAAGUGUUGGCCAAGAGAGCUUCAUGGAGUUAACUGAACCAAUAUAGUGAAAUAUAUUGAAUUUGGAAAGAUAAGGGAAGA